RNAcentral lists this ribosomal RNA (406 nucleotides) under uncultured bacterium. Its description in RNAcentral is "partial 16S ribosomal RNA". It matches the Rfam family "Bacterial small subunit ribosomal RNA", at positions 30 to 526 of the family's 1533-position model. The record is from RNAcentral.
AUUGAACGCUGGCGGCAGGCCUAACACAUGCAAGUCGAGCGAGCGGCGGACGGGUGAGUAAUGUAUGGGGAACUGCCUGAUAGAGGGGGAUAACUACUGGAAACGGUAGCUAAUACCGCAUACUAUCGGAUGUGCCCAUAUGGGAUUAGCUAGUUGGUGGGGUAAAGGCUCACCUAGGCGACGAUCCCUAGCUGGUCUGAGAGGAUGAUCAGCCACACGGGGACUGAGACACGGCCCAGACGCCUACGGGAGGCAGCAGUGGGGAAUAUUGCACAAUGGGCGCAAGCCUGAUGCAGCCAUGCCGCGUGUAUGAAGAAGGCCUUAGGGUUGUAAAGUACUUUCAGCGGGGAGGCGUUACCCGCAGAAGAAGCACCGGCUAACUCCGUGCCAGCAGCCGCGGUAAUAC